UGGGGAAUUUUGGACAAUGGGCGCAAGCCUGAUCCAGCAAUGCCGCGUGCAGGAUGAAGGCCUUCGGGUUGUAAACUGCUUUUGUACGGAACGAAAAGCCUCUCUCUAAUACAGGGGGGUGAUGACGGUACCGUAAGAAUAAGCACCGGCUAACUACGUGCCAGCAGCCGCGGUAAUACGUAGGGUGCAAGCGUUAAUCGGAAUUACUGGGCGUAAAGCGUGCGCAGGCGGUUUUGUAAGACAGUGGUGAAAUCCCCGGGCUCAACCUGGGAACUGCCAUUGUGACUGCAAGGCUGGAGUGCGGCAGAGGGGGGAUGGAAUUCCGCGUGUAGCAGUGAAAUGCGUAGAUAUGCGGAGGAACACCGAUGGCGAAGGCAAUCCCCUGGGCCUGCACUGACGCUCAUGCACGAAAGCGUGGGGAGCAAACAGGAUUAGAUACCCUGGUAGUCCACGCCCUAAACGAUGUCAACNGGUUGUUGGGGAUUUAUUUCUUCAGUAACGAAGCUAA
RNAcentral lists this ribosomal RNA (508 nucleotides) under uncultured bacterium. Its description in RNAcentral is "partial 16S ribosomal RNA". It matches the Rfam family "Bacterial small subunit ribosomal RNA", at positions 355 to 855 of the family's 1533-position model. The record is from RNAcentral.